This 437-nucleotide ribosomal RNA is filed under the name Rothia mucilaginosa. Its description in RNAcentral is "bacterial SSU rRNA". It matches the Rfam family "Bacterial small subunit ribosomal RNA", at positions 28 to 474 of the family's 1533-position model. The record is from RNAcentral. Lineage: Bacteria; Bacillati; Actinomycetota; Actinomycetes; Micrococcales; Micrococcaceae.
GACGAACGCUGGCGGCGUGCUUAACACAUGCAAGUCGAACGAUGAAGCCUAGCUUGCUAGGUGGAUUAGUGGCGAACGGGUGAGUAAUACGUGAGUAACCUACCUUUAACUCUGGGAUAAGCCUGGGAAACUGGGUCUAAUACCGGAUACGACCAAUCUCCGCAUGGGGUGUUGGUGGAAAGCGUUAUGUAGUGGUUAUAGAUGGGCUCACGGCCUAUCAGCUUGUUGGUGAGGUAACGGCUCACCAAGGCGACGACGGGUAGCCGGCCUGAGAGGGUGACCGGCCACACUGGGACUGAGACACGGCCCAGACUCCUACGGGAGGCAGCAGUGGGGAAUAUUGCACAAUGGGCGCAAGCCUGAUGCAGCGACGCCGCGUGAGGGAUGACGGCCUUGGGUUGUAAACCUCUGUUAGCAGGGAAGAAGAGAAAUUGACG